GGUAGGUUGCUUUUGUAUCUUGGCCAUUGUAAAUAACGCUGCUGUGAACACUAAGGUACAUGUAUCUUUUCAAAUUACUGUUUUUGUCUUCUUGGAUAUAUACCCAGGAGUAGAAUUGCUGGAUCAUAUGGUGGAUUUAUUUUUAAUUUUUUGAGGAGCCUCCAUAUUGUCGUCCAUAGUGGCUGCGUCAAUUUACAAUCCCACCCAUAGUGAAUUGGGGUUCUCUUUUCUUCUUUUGUCACCUUUUUUGACAAAAGCCAUUCUGACAGGGUUGAAGUGAUAGCUCACUGUAGUUUUUAUUUAUGUUUUUCUAAUAAUUAGUGAUGCUGAGCAUCUUGUCAUGUGCUUGGUGGCCAUCUGUAUGUCUCCUUUGGAAAAAAUGUCUAUUCCAGUCCUCUGCUCAUUUUUUUACCAAGUUAUUUUUUGAGCUUUUUGUACAUUUUGGAUAUGUUGAGCUCUUUACGUAUUUUGGAUAUGUUGAGUUUGAUGAUUCUUUCUAUAUUCUGUAUACAAGUCCUUUGUCAGAUACAUAAUUUGCAAAACAUUUUCUUCCAGCCUGUAGCUUGUCUUUUCAUUUUCAUAACAGUGUUUGUAGCUUUACAAAACUUUAUAAAUUUGAUGAAAUUCAGUAUCUUAUUUUUUUCCCUUAUGAGUUAUGCUUCUAGUGUCCUGAGAACUCAUUGCCUAAACCAAGGUCACAGAGCUUUUCCCCUAGGCUUUCUUCUGUAAGUUUUAAUAAUCUUCUGUUUAGAUGUGAUAUUCAUUUUGUUUUUAUUUUAUUUUAUUAUUUAUUUAUUUAUUUAUUUAUUUUUGCUUUUUAGGCCCGCACCUGCGGUAUAUAGAGAUUCCCAGGCCGGCGGCUACAGCUCCAAUGAGACCCCUCGCCUGGGAACCUCCAUAUGCCUCGGGAGCGGCCCUAGAAAAAGGCAAAAAGACUAAAUAAAUAAAUAAAAUGGACACGAUUAUAGGUCCUCCCUCUUGGGGUUGCUAAGAGGACUGAGUGACACUAAUGCAUUUAAAGUUCUUACUAACCAACAGGGACCUACUGCAGAGCACAGGGAACUAUACUCAAUAUUCUGUGAUAACCUAUGAGAAAAGGAGCUGAAAAAGAAUAUACAUGUAACUGAAUCGCUGUGCUUUACACCAGAAACUAGCACAACCCUGCACAUCACCUAUACUUCAAUAAAAUCCAUGUAUAAUAAUAAUAAGUAACAGUACCAUAGAAAUAUUUUAAAAAUUAAGUCCUUGCUGCACAGUCAGGCACAUAGUUGUACUCUGAAAGGCAAGGGUGCAAGAGUAUUUGUAUUGUGAAAGAGAGUUGAAUUUUGUCAAUACUUUAUCUGUCUUACUUGAGAUGGUCUUUUUCUUUUCCCCUUCAUUCCGUUAUUGUAAUGUAAAUGUAGUACAUCAAUCAAUUUUUAUAUAUUGAGCCAUCCUUGCAUUUCAGGAAUAAAUUGUUUUUGGUCAUGGCAUAUAAUCCUUUUAAUAUGCUGCUAAAUUUGGUUGCUAGGGUUUUGUUGAGGAUUUUGGCAUCAGUAUUCUGCAGGGAUUUGCAUAUAGUUUUUAUUUUGUUUCUGUAGUGUCUUGGGUCUGGCUUUGCAUCAGGACAAUGCCAGCCUCAUAGGAUGAGCUCCCGCCUCUUCCAGUUUUUGGAAAAGUUUGGGAAGGGUUGGCAUUAGUUUUUUUAAAUGUUUGGCAGAAUCCACCAGUGACGCUCUCAGGUCCAGGCGUUCCCUUUGUCAAGGAAUUUUUGAUGACCGAUUCAUUCUCCUUACUAGUUAUAUAUCUGUUUGGAUUUUCUAUUUCUUUCAUGCAUCAGUCUUGGUAGGUUUUUGUUUUUAAGAAUUUGUUCAUUUCAUCUGGGCUCUCUAGUUGGUUGGCAUGCAGUUGUGUAUAGCACUGUUAAAAUCCUUUUUAUUUCUUAAAAUCCGUAAUAAUGCCCAUAUUUUCAUCUCCGAUUUUAGUGAUUUGAGUCUUUUUUUUUUUUUCUUAGUCCAUCCAGCUAAAGGCUUGUCAAUUCUGUUGAUCUUUACAAAGAACCAACUUCUGAUUUCAUUCAUUUUCUGUCUUGCUUUUCUAUUCUCUACUUUGUUUCUCUCUGCUCUCAUCCUUAUUUUCUUCCUCCUGCUACCUUUGGGUUUCAUUUGUUCUGUUUCUAGUUCCUGAAGUCAUGAAAUUAGAGUUCUGAUUUUACGUCUUUCUACUUUUUGGAUAUAAACAUUUAUAGCCAUAAAUUUUCCCUCAGCACUGCUUUCACUGCAUCCCGUGGGUCUGGGUAUGUUGCGAUGUUGUUUUCCUUCCUCUUAAAGUAUUUUCUCAUUUCCCGGGUGAUGGCUUCUUUGAUCCAAUUGUUGUUUAAGAAUGUGUUUCAUUUCCGGAGUUCCCGUCGUGGCGCAGUGGUUAACGAAUCCGACUGGGAACCAUGAGGUUGCAGGUUCGAUCCCUGCCCUUGCUCAGUGGGUUAACGAUCCAGCGUUGCCGUGAGCUGUGGUGUAGGUUUCAGACGCGGCUUGGAUCCCGCGUUGCUGUGGCUCUGGCGUAGGCCGGUGGCUACAGCUCCGAUUCAACCCCUAGCCUGGGAACCUCCCGCAUAUGCCGCGGGAGCAGCCCAAGAAAUAGCAACAAUAACAACAACAACAACAAAAAAAGAAAAAAAAAAAAAAAA
This 2665-nucleotide long non-coding RNA is filed under the name Sus scrofa (pig). RNAcentral describes it as "lncRNA (ENSSSCG00005010204.1)". Lineage: Eukaryota; Metazoa; Chordata; Mammalia; Artiodactyla; Suidae. The record is from RNAcentral.